UGAAGUUUCUUUUUCUUCAACAAUGGAUCUUGAUGGAACAAUGGACGAGGAAAUCAAUUCAGAUCUGGUUAAAGAGGACGAACAUAAAAGGAAACGAAUGAGCGACGGAGAUAGCCCGCAAUUUAAACGACCAAAACAAUAGUGUGAAGAAUGGCAUCAUUACCUGACAGAACAAUGUCCGAACCUAGCAACUCAAGAUGAAGAGGAAGAAGAAAAUUCAGACGGGGAGCAGAAUUUUGAUUAGGGAGAUGAAAGUCAUCAACAAGAUUGGGGAGACGAAACCUUGGACCUGGAUCAUCACUAUUGUGAUGAAAUUCCUGCUGUAAGUGAUGAUGACGACUUGGCAGACCUAGAAAUUUCUUUUGCCUCUACAAUUGACCUUACAAUGGACGAGGAAAUUAAUUUGGAUUUGGUUGAAGAGUUGGAAAAGAGGAAAAGGAUGAGCAAUGAUGGCCCAAUGCAAUAUAAACGCCAAAAACUAAACUAGUUUUACUACCCU
Long non-coding RNA from Daphnia pulicaria, 499 nucleotides. RefSeq lists it as uncharacterized. The record is from RefSeq and is a predicted model, not a curated record. NCBI's taxonomy places the organism in Eukaryota, Metazoa, Arthropoda, Branchiopoda, Diplostraca, Daphniidae. The transcript has 6 exons.